This 1360-nucleotide ribosomal RNA is filed under the name uncultured bacterium. Its description in RNAcentral is "partial 16S ribosomal RNA". It matches the Rfam family "Bacterial small subunit ribosomal RNA". The record is from RNAcentral.
AGAGUUUGAUCCUGGCUCAGGAUGAACGCUGGCGGCGUGCCUAACACAUGCAAGUCGAGCGAUUUACUUCGGUAAAGAGCGGCGGACGGGUGAGUAACGCGUGGGUAACCUGCCCUAUACACACGGAUAACAUACCGAAAGGUAUGCUAAUACGAGAUAACAUAAGAGAUUCGCAUGGAUUUCUUAUCAAAGCUUUUGCGGUAUAGGAUGGACCCGCGUCUGAUUAGCUAGUUGGUAAGGUAACGGCUUACCAAGGCGACGAUCAGUAGCCGACCUGAGAGGGUGAUCGGCCACAUUGGAACUGAGACACGGUCCAAACUCCUACGGGAGGCAGCAGUGGGGAAUAUUGCACAAUGGGCGAAAGCCUGAUGCAGCAACGCCGCGUGAGCGAUGAAGGCCUUCGGGUCGUAAAGCUCUGUCCUCAAGGAAGAUAAUGACGGUACUUGAGGAGGAAGCCCCGGCUAACUACGUGCCAGCAGCCGCGGUAAUACGUAGGGGGCUAGCGUUAUCCGGAAUUACUGGGCGUAAAGGGUGCGUAGGUGGUUUCUUAAGUCAGAGGUGAAAGGCUACGGCUCAACCGUAGUAAGCCUUUGAAACUGAGAAACUUGAGUGCAGGAGAGGAGAGUAGAAUUCCUAGUGUAGCGGUGAAAUGCGUAGAUAUUAGGAGGAAUACCAGUUGCGAAGGCGGCUCUCUGGACUGUAACUGACACUGAGGCACGAAAGCGUGGGGAGCAAACAGGAUUAGAUACCCUGGUAGUCCACGCCGUAAACGAUGAGUACUAGCUGUCGGAGGUUACCCCCUUCGGUGGCGCAGCUAACGCAUUAAGUACUCCGCCUGGGAAGUACGCUCGCAAGAGUGAAACUCAAAGGAAUUGACGGGGACCCGCACAAGUAGCGGAGCAUGAGGUUUAAUUCGAAGCAACGCGAAGAACCUUACCUAAGCUUGACAUCUUCUGCAUUACCCUUAAUCGGGGAAGUUCCUUCGGGGACAGAAUGACAGGUGGUGCAUGGUUGUCGUCAGCUCGUGUCGUGAGAUGUUGGGUUGAGUCCCGCAACGAGCGCAACCCUUAUUGUUAGUUGCUACCAUUUAGAUGAGCACUCAUGCGAUACUGCCUGCGAUGAGCAGGAGGAAGGUGGGGAUGACGUCAAGUCAUCAUGCCCCUUAUACGCUGGGCUACACACGUGCUACAAUGGGCAGUACAGAGAGUUGCCAACCCGCGAGGGUGAGCUAAUCUCUUAAAGCUGUUCUUAGUUCGGAUUGUACUCUGCAACUCGAGUACAUGAAGUUGGAAUCGCUAGUAAUCGCAAAUCAGCAUGUUGCGGUGAAUACGUUCUCGGGUCUUGUACACACCGCCCGUCA